RNAcentral lists this ribosomal RNA (792 nucleotides) under uncultured bacterium. Its description in RNAcentral is "bacterial SSU rRNA". It matches the Rfam family "Bacterial small subunit ribosomal RNA", at positions 60 to 868 of the family's 1533-position model. The record is from RNAcentral.
AGUCGACGGAGUUAAAGAGCUUGCUUUUUAACUUAGUGGCGGACGGGUGAGUAACACGUGAGUAACCUACCUUUCAAAGGGGGAUAACGUCUGGAAACGGACGCUAAUACCGCAUAAUACUAUUUGAGGGCAUCCUUGGAUAGUCAAAGGAGAAAUCCGAUGGGAGAUGGACUCGCGGCUGAUUAGAUAGUUGGCGGGGUAGAGGCCCACCAAGUCGACGAUCAGUAGCCGGACUGAGAGGUUGAACGGCCACAUUGGGACUGAGACACGGCCCAGACUCCUACGGGAGGCAGCAGUGGGGGAUAUUGCACAAUGGGGGAAACCCUGAUGCAGCGACGCCGCGUGAGGGAAGACGGUUUUCGGAUUGUAAACCUCUGUCUUUGGGGACGAAUUGAGACGGUACCCAAGGAGGAAGCUCCGGCUAACUACGUGCCAGCAGCCGCGGUAAUACGUAGGGAGCAAGCGUUGUCCGGAAUUACUGGGUGUAAAGGGAGCGUAGGCGGGAUAGUAAGUUGAUUGUUAAAACUAUCGGCUCAACUGGUAGAUGCGAUCAAAACUGCAAUUCUUGAGUGAAGUAGAGGCAGGCGGAAUUCCUAGUGUAGCGGUGAAAUGCGUAGAUAUUAGGAGGAACACCAGUGGCGAAGGCGGCCUGCUGGGCUUUAACUGACGCUGAGGCUCGAAAGUGUGGGUAGCAAACAGGAUUAGAUACCCUGGUAGUCCACACUGUAAACGAUGAUUACUAGGUGUGGGUGGACUGACCCCAUCCGUGCCGCAGUUAACACAAUAAGUAAU